GGGUGCGAUCAUACCGGCACUAAUGCACCGGAUCCCAUUAAAACUCCGCAGUUUAAGCGUGCUUGGGCGAGAGUAGUACUAGGA
This 84-nucleotide ribosomal RNA is filed under the name Gossypium arboreum. The record is from RNAcentral. Lineage: Eukaryota; Viridiplantae; Streptophyta; Magnoliopsida; Malvales; Malvaceae.